Molecule: non-coding RNA, 200 nt
Organism: Ictidomys tridecemlineatus (thirteen-lined ground squirrel)
Lineage: Eukaryota; Metazoa; Chordata; Mammalia; Rodentia; Sciuridae
Source: RefSeq, a predicted model, not a curated record
GCGUUUGCCCCUCACUACUUUGCUCUUAUCACCUGGGAAAGUCAUGGGAGUCCCUGAUCAGCUCAUACUUUUGACAAAUACAUUGCUGCAUGCAUACUGUGAUGGGUUCAGGUUGUCAGAAUCGGGACCCAAGUAUGGCUCGUAUUAUUUCUACCUAUAGAAAACCUGAAGAAUGAACCUUGUGGAUCAGGAAAAGUCAA